This 468-nucleotide ribosomal RNA is filed under the name uncultured bacterium. Its description in RNAcentral is "partial 16S ribosomal RNA". It matches the Rfam family "Bacterial small subunit ribosomal RNA", at positions 28 to 507 of the family's 1533-position model. The record is from RNAcentral.
GACGAACGCUGGCGGCGUGCUUAACACAUGCAAGUCGAACGGAAAGGCCCUGCUUUUGUGGGGUUCUCGAUUGGCGAACGGGUGAGUAACACGUGAGUAACCUGCCCUUGACUUUGUGAUAACUUCAGGAAACUGGGGCUAAUACCGGAUAGGAGCUCCUGCUCCAUGGUGGUGGUUGGAAAGUUUCGGCGGUUGGGGAUGGGCUCGCGGCUUAUCAGCUUGUUGGUGGGGUAGUGGCUUACCAAGGCUUUGACGGGUAGCCGGCCUGAGAGGGUGACCGGCCUCAUUGGGACUGAGAUAGGGCGCAGAAGCGUACGGGAGGCAGCAGUGGGGAAUAUUGCACAGUGGGCGGAAGCCUGAUGCAGAAACGCCGGGUGCGGGAUGACGGCCUUCGGGUUGUAAACCGAUUUCGAAUGUGACGAAGCGUGCGUGACGGUAAUGGGUAAAGAAGCAACGGCUAACUACGUG